Molecule: ribosomal RNA, 447 nt
Filed under: Leucania obsoleta
Lineage: Eukaryota; Metazoa; Arthropoda; Insecta; Lepidoptera; Noctuidae
Description: partial 16S large subunit ribosomal RNA
Source: RNAcentral
UGCCCACUGAUAAUAAAAAAUUAAAGGGCUGCAGUAAUUUGACUGUACAAAGGUAGCAUAAUCAUUAGUCAUUUAAUUGAUGACUUGUAUGAAAGAUUGGAUGAAAUAUAAGCUGUCUCUUUUUUAUAAAUAGAAUUUAAUUUUUUAAUUAAAAAGUUAAAAUAAAUUAAAAAGACGAGAAGACCCUAUAGAGUUUUAUAUUUUUAAUAAUUAAGAUUAUUUAGAUACAUUAAAUUAAAAUUAUAAAAAUUAUUUUGUUGGGGUGACAGAAAAAUAAAUAUAACUUUUUUUAAAAAGAAACAUAUAUAAGUGAAAAAUUGAUCCAAUAAUAUUGAUUAUAAGAAAAAAUUACCUUAGGGAUAACAGCGUAAUUUUUUUUUUUAGUUCAUAUAAAAAAAAGAGUUUGCGACCUCGAUGUUGGAUUAAGAUAAAAUUUAAAUGCAGAAG